Molecule: ribosomal RNA, 502 nt
Filed under: uncultured bacterium
Lineage: Bacteria
Description: partial 16S ribosomal RNA
Rfam family: Bacterial small subunit ribosomal RNA
Source: RNAcentral
AUUGAACGCUGGCGGCGUGCCUAACACAUGCAAGUCGAGCGGUAACAGGUGUAGCAAUACAUGCUGACGAGCGGCGAACGGGUGAGUAAUGCUUCGGAAUCUACCUUAUGGUGGGGAAUAACUAGCCGAAAGGUUAGCUAAUACCGCAUACGUCCUACGGGAGAAAGCAGGGGAUCGCAAGACCUUGCGCCAAAAGAUGAGGCGAAGUCGGAUUAGCUAGUUGGUAGGGUAACGGCCUACCAAGGCGACGAUCCGUAGCUGGUCUGAGAGGACGACCAGCCACACUGGGACUGAGACACGGCCCAGACUCCUACGGGAGGCAGCAGUGGGGAAUAUUGGACAAUGGGGGAAACCCUGAUCCAGCGACGCCGCGUGUGUGAAGAAGGCCUGCGGGUUGUAAAGCACUUUUAGUGGGGAUGAAAUGUGCAGGGUUAAUACCUCCGCAUUUUGACCUAACCCACAGAAAAAGCACCGGCUAACUCUGUGCCAGCCGCCGCCGUAA